Molecule: long non-coding RNA, 401 nt
Organism: Pyrgilauda ruficollis (rufous-necked snowfinch)
Lineage: Eukaryota; Metazoa; Chordata; Aves; Passeriformes; Passeridae
Exons: 4
Source: RefSeq, a predicted model, not a curated record
CCCAGUGUGGACAACUGGAGGAUGAGGACCCCAAGACACAACAAAGCCUAAGCUCACUGUUUUAUCUGGAUGCAGAAAGAAAGGUCCCUUGGCCUGUAAAUCAAUGGUUUCGUACUGAGAAAAGAAAAAGGAAACAUCACAACAAGGAUGGAUAAACCUCACUGAAAUCACUGUUCUGAGACUGCAGGCACAGCUAUUGAGGACAGCCCAGAUGCCAGCCAGGUCUCAUUUCCAAAGCACAGAGUGGAUUAAAAGUAAAAUACAACCAAAAAGAAGAUCUGGAAAUCUGAAAAUAUGGAAGCAGAAUAAUAAUCCAGCAAAGAACGGAGGAUUCCUGCUGCUUCCCAGCAGUGCUGCCCCUAAAGUGACUUAAAGGAAAAGAUUCAUCAAGGAGGGGAAGC